RNAcentral lists this ribosomal RNA (253 nucleotides) under uncultured bacterium. Its description in RNAcentral is "partial 16S ribosomal RNA". It matches the Rfam family "Bacterial small subunit ribosomal RNA", at positions 524 to 776 of the family's 1533-position model. The record is from RNAcentral.
UACGUAGGGUGCGAGCGUUGUCCGGAAUUACUGGGCGUAAAGAGCUCGUAGGUGGUUUGUCGCGUUGUUCGUGAAAACUCACAGCUUAACUGUGGGCGUGCGGGCGAUACGGGCAGACUGGAGUACUGCAGGGGAGACUGGAAUUCCUGGUGUAGCGGUGGAAUGCGCAGAUAUCUGGAGGAACACCGGUGGCGAAGGCGGCUCUCUGGUCUGUAACUGACGCUGAGGCGCGAAAGCGUGGGGAGCAAACAGG